AUUGAACGCUGGCGGCAGGCUUAACACAUGCAAGUCGAACGAUGACUCUCUAGCUUGCUAGAGAUGAUUAGUGGCGGACGGGUGAGUAACAUUUAGGAAUCUACCUAGUAGUGGGGGAUAGCUCGGGGAAACUCGAAUUAAUACCGCAUACGACCUACGGGUGAAAGGGGGCGCAAGCUCUUGCUAUUAGAUGAGCCUAAAUCAGAUUAGCUAGUUGGUGGGGUAAAGGCCCACCAAGGCGACGAUCUGUAACUGGUCUGAGAGGAUGAUCAGUCACACCGGAACUGAGACACGGUCCGGACUCCUACGGGAGGCAGCAGUGGGGAAUAUUGGACAAUGGGGGCAACCCUGAUCCAGCCAUGCCGCGUGUGUGAAGAAGGCCUUUUGGUUGUAAAGCACUUUAAGCAGGGAGGAGAGGCUAAUGGUUAAUACCCAUUAGAUUAGACGUUACCUGCAGAAUAAGCACCGGCUAACUCUGUGC
Molecule: ribosomal RNA, 481 nt
Filed under: uncultured bacterium
Lineage: Bacteria
Description: bacterial SSU rRNA
Rfam family: Bacterial small subunit ribosomal RNA
Source: RNAcentral